Molecule: ribosomal RNA, 256 nt
Filed under: uncultured bacterium
Lineage: Bacteria
Description: partial 16S ribosomal RNA
Rfam family: Bacterial small subunit ribosomal RNA
Source: RNAcentral
CAAACUGAAGAUGGCGACCGGCGCACGGGUGAGUAACACGUAUCCAACCUGCCGAUAACUCCGGAAUAGCCUUUCGAAAGAAAGAUUAAUACCGGAUAGUAUACGAAUAUCGCAUGAUUAUUUUAUUAAAGUAAUUUUCGGUUAUCGAUGGGGAUGCGUUCCAUUAGUUUGUUGGCGGGUAACGGCCCACCAAGACUACGAUGGAUAGGGGUUCUGAGAGGAAGGUCCCCCACAUUGGAACUGAGACACGGUCCAA